Molecule: ribosomal RNA, 485 nt
Filed under: uncultured bacterium
Lineage: Bacteria
Description: partial 16S ribosomal RNA
Rfam family: Bacterial small subunit ribosomal RNA
Source: RNAcentral
GAUUGAACGCUGGCGGCAUGCUUUACACAUGCAAGUCGAACGGCAGCGCGGGCUUCGGCCUGGCGGCGAGUGGCGAACGGGUGAGUAAUACAUCGGAACGUGCCCAGUAGUGGGGGAUAGCUCGGCGAAAGCCGGAUUAAUACCGCAUACGACCUGAGGGUGAAAGCGGGGGAUCUUCGGACCUCGCGCUAUUGGAGCGGCCGAUGGCAGAUUGGCUAGUUGGUGGGGUAAAGGCCUACCAAGGCGACGAUCUGUAGCUGGUCUGAGAGGACGACCAGCCACACUGGGACUGAGACACGGCCCAGACUCCUACGGGAGGCAGCAGUGGGGAAUUUUGGACAAUGGGCGAAAGCCUGAUCCAGCAAUGCCGCGUGUGUGAUGAAGGCCUUCGGGUUGUAAAGCACUUUUGGCGGGAACGAAAAGGACUGUGCCAAUACCACGGUUCGAUGACGGUACCCGCAGAAUAAGCACCGGCUAACUACGUG